Molecule: long non-coding RNA, 348 nt
Organism: Nematostella vectensis (starlet sea anemone)
Lineage: Eukaryota; Metazoa; Cnidaria; Anthozoa; Actiniaria; Edwardsiidae
Exons: 3
Source: RefSeq, a predicted model, not a curated record
CGACCAAUGCAGCCUGGGUGAUGGAAAGCUCUACCAGUCGGAAACUCCCGAAUAAACAUCUUCGGAAACGAGGAUCAUAAAACAAGAUGGCGGCCAUAUCGCGAAAGAGUUUCAAGGAAGAAAAAGAGUCUCAAACCAGUAACUGACAUGAAUUUUGCAAAGUACAUUUGUGAGGCUAUUCACUUGUCCCCAAGCCCCCCACGGCCCUUAAAACUAGAGGCACAUACCUGUGGAUGCCAUCAUGGCAUGAGCCAAACAGCAAGGACAGCAUAACAUAACGCACAACUUUAAAAAAGGGAACUCUACUGUACUUACCAUUAUCCUAGAAGUGCUUAUUGCCCUUCACUU